AUUGAACGCUGGCGGCAUGCCUUACACAUGCAAGUCGAACGGCAGCACGGGAGCAAUCCUGGUGGCGAGUGGCGAACGGGUGAGUAAUAUAUCGGAACGUGCCCAGUCGUGGGGAUAACGUAGCGAAAGCUACGCUAAUACCGCAUACGAUCUAUGGAUGAAAGCGGGGGAUCGCAAGACCUCGCGCGAUUGGAGCGGCCGAUAUCAGAUUAGGUAGUUGGUGAGGUAAAGGCUCACCAAGCCGACGAUCUGUAGCUGGUCUGAGAGGACGACCAGCCACACUGGGACUGAGACACGGCCCAGACUCCUACGGGAGGCAGCAGUGGGGAAUAUUGGACAAUGGGCGAAAGCCUGAUCCAGCAAUGCCGCGUGCAGGAAG
RNAcentral lists this ribosomal RNA (379 nucleotides) under uncultured bacterium. RNAcentral's name for it is "bacterial SSU rRNA". It matches the Rfam family "Bacterial small subunit ribosomal RNA", at positions 29 to 410 of the family's 1533-position model. The record is from RNAcentral.